CCCGAAUCCCGGGUUUUCCCGCAGUACGAGGUCGCCACGGUGACGGAGAAGGGCGUGGAGCUGGAGGGACCCCUGACCCUGGAGGCCAACUGGGACAUCGCCCACGCCGUCAGAGGUUUCGAGUGAUCUCCAGGAGCUGCUCCGGCCUCAGCCCGUUUUUAUCCCAUCCCUUCUUCCCCUCUGGAAUGGCAAAAAUCUGGUGUUUUUUGGGAAUAAAAUCCAGUGUUUAAGACCA
Lonchura striata (white-rumped munia) is the source of this 235-nucleotide non-coding RNA. Lineage: Eukaryota; Metazoa; Chordata; Aves; Passeriformes; Estrildidae. The record is from RefSeq and is a predicted model, not a curated record.